GGGGGAAGAGCUCAGUGGUAGAGUGCGCCUUAGUGUGCACGAGGUCCUGGGUUCAAUCCCCAGUAUCUCCA
This 71-nucleotide transfer RNA is filed under the name Camelus dromedarius (Arabian camel). It matches the Rfam family "tRNA". From Rfam's summary of the family: Transfer RNA (tRNA) molecules are approximately 80 nucleotides in length. Their secondary structure includes four short double-helical elements and three loops (D, anti-codon, and T loops). Lineage: Eukaryota; Metazoa; Chordata; Mammalia; Artiodactyla; Camelidae. The record is from Rfam by way of RNAcentral. RNAcentral also lists the same sequence under 1 other name.